GAUGAACGCUGGCGGCGUGCUUAACACAUGCAAGUCGAACGAAGCACUUUAUUUGAUUUCCUUCGGGACUGAUUAUUUUGUGACUGAGUGGCGGACGGGUGAGUAACGCGUGGGUAACCUGCCUUGUACAGGGGGAUAACAGUUGGAAACGGCUGCUAAUACCGCAUAAGCGCACAGCAUCGCAUGAUGCAGUGUGAAAAACUCCGGUGGCAUAAGAUGGACCCGCGUUGGAUUAGCUAGUUGGUGAGGUAACGGCCCACCAAGGCGACGAUCCAUAGCCGACCUGAUAGGGUGACCGGCCACAUUGGGACUGAGACACGGCCCAAACUCCUACGGGAGGCAGCAGUGGGGAAUAUUGCACAAUGGGCGAAAGCCUGAUGCAGCGACGCCGCGUGAGCGAAGAAGUAUUUCGGUAUGUAAAGCUCUAUCAGCAGGGAAGAUAAUGACGUUACCUGACGAAGAAGCACCGGCUAAAUACGUG
This 481-nucleotide ribosomal RNA is filed under the name uncultured bacterium. RNAcentral's name for it is "partial 16S ribosomal RNA". It matches the Rfam family "Bacterial small subunit ribosomal RNA", at positions 28 to 507 of the family's 1533-position model. The record is from RNAcentral.